This 497-nucleotide ribosomal RNA is filed under the name uncultured bacterium. RNAcentral's name for it is "partial 16S ribosomal RNA". It matches the Rfam family "Bacterial small subunit ribosomal RNA", at positions 28 to 507 of the family's 1533-position model. The record is from RNAcentral.
GAUGAACGCUGGCGGCGUGCCUAAUACAUGCAAGUCGAGCGAACGGACGAGAAGCUUGCUUCUCUGAUGUUAGCGGCGGACGGGUGAGUAACACGUGGAUAACCUACCUAUAAGACUGGGAUAACUUCGGGAAACCGUAGCUAAUACCGGAUAAUAUUUUGAACCGCAUGGUUCAAAAGUGAAAGGCGGUCUUGCUGCCACUUAUAGAUGGAUCCGCGCUGCAUUAGCUAGUUGGUAAGGUAACGGCUUACCAAGGCAACGAUGCAUAGCCGACCUGAGAGGGUGAUCGGCCACACUGGAACUGAGACACGGUCCAGACUCCUACGGGAGGCAGCAGUAGGGAAUCUUCCGCAAUGGGCGAAAGCCUGACGGAGCAACGCCGCGUGAGUGAUGAAGGUCUUCGGAUCGUAAAACUCUGUUAUUAGGGAAGAACAUAUGUGUAAGUAACUGUGCACAUCUUGACGGUACCUAAUCAGAAAGCCACGGCUAACUACGUG